Molecule: ribosomal RNA, 231 nt
Filed under: uncultured bacterium
Lineage: Bacteria
Description: partial 16S ribosomal RNA
Rfam family: Bacterial small subunit ribosomal RNA
Source: RNAcentral
UGAGUAACCUGCCCUCCACUCUGGGAUAAGCCCGGGAAACUGGGUCUAAUACCGGAUAUGACCUCCUGUCUCAUGGCGGGUGGUGGAAAGUUUUUUCGGUGGGGGAUGGACUCGCGGCCUAUCAGCUUGUUGGUGAGGUAAUGGCUUACCAAGGCGACGACGGGUAGCCGGCCUGAGAGGGCGACCGGCCACACUGGGACUGAGACACGGCCCAGACUCCUACGGGAGCAG